UUUUUUGUUUGUUUGCUUGGGGUUUUUGUUUUGUUUAAUUGCUUUAAAAACACCAAUUCAAGCUUCGCUCUCAAAAAAUUUCUAGUGUCUCGACUCCUUCACUUUUCUACUCAAUACAUUUUAUACUGUAACUGUUUUUUAUCCUUCCAGUGGCACUAUUUUCAGUUUACUUUAUUUAACAUAAAAGCCACAAAAUCAAAGACUCAAAGAACUUAGCCUUCUUCCUUAUGUAUAUAAUGUAAUGAUAUGACUCUAAAAGUUCUUUCAAUUGUUUCAGCAAUUUAAAUACACACACACCCACCCCCCCCCCAAGGUCUCUUAUAUAGCACCAUCUUUACACUGUAACUGCACUUCUCACUACAGCCUGUGCCUGCAUGGUUUGAGCUGAGGAAGUAAUUGGCAGAUUCAACAGGAUCUUGAUUGACUGAGGGGAAUAAAACCCCACACCUCCUAUUUUACAGACAGCAAAAGAAUGUAACCAAGACCAGAGUUCCCAGAACCCAGACUGGCAGAGACUGCCCUAUCCCCACUGCCCAGUCCCUCAGCUGUUCAGUUUCCCCUUUGCUGAUUCCUUCACCAACCCUGCAGCCACCACCUCAGCAGCUGGCUUCAUCCACCCAUCUCCUGAUCCGAGCCUGCCCUAUUCCUAUCUCCUGCACCUAAGACACUUCCCGGAAAGCACCUGUACCUUCCAUUUCACCUUCACAAAAACAAUUUCAGAAAAAUUUAGCCUAAGGCUGACUCCUGGCACAGAGAAUUUCAGAGUGAGCAGUUAUGUUUUGACACUUGUGAACCACUGAAAACAGGCUUGUAAAGAAAACGUUUGAGUAACCUUCUCUGUCAGCAAAACCAUUGGAGCUACCUGGAAACCAUAAGAACUGUGUCUUCAGAAGCUCAUUAAGUUUUGUGUUGCCCCAUGGAAGCAUUGGGACACAACUGUUGCCACAGCUCCUAAAAGCAUAUGUAUAUGUAUAUAUACGUAACUAUGUACACAUAGACAAAUUUCAUAAAUAAAA
RNAcentral lists this long non-coding RNA (1016 nucleotides) under Strigops habroptila (Kakapo). RNAcentral's name for it is "lncRNA (ENSSHBG00005013597.1)". Lineage: Eukaryota; Metazoa; Chordata; Aves; Psittaciformes; Psittacidae. The record is from RNAcentral.